AGUUUUCUGUGGUUCAUAAGCAUGAUGAUUGGGUUUUCAUGCUCAUGUGUGAGAUGUGCCUCCCUCAAACCUUGUUACGACGUUGGCACAUUACCCAUCUGAUG
Small nucleolar RNA from Gorilla gorilla gorilla (western lowland gorilla), 104 nucleotides. NCBI's taxonomy places the organism in Eukaryota, Metazoa, Chordata, Mammalia, Primates, Hominidae. The record is from Ensembl.